CUCCUGACUCAGCCUCCCAAGUAGCUGGGACUGCAGGCGCCUGCCACCUCGCCUGGCUAAUUUUUUGUAUUUUUAGUAGAGAUGGGGUUUGCUGUGUUAGCCAGGAUGGUCUCGAUCUCCUGACCUCGUGAUCCACCCGCCUUGGCCUCCCAAAGUGCUGGGAUUAUAGGCGUGAGCCACCGCGCCCUGACAAGACUUUUAUAAAUUGCCAGACUGCAUUGCAUAAACCAAAUGGCAACAGAGAGGUGACCUUUCAAAUUACUGGCACAACAGGAGCCAAAAUCAGAAAAGGUCCAACUUAAAGCAAACACUGACAAGAAAUCCGACAGAAAUGACUUCUGUGUCUGGUCAACGUAACAUAACGUGACAUUGUAAAGCGUAUUUGGCUUUUUAGGUAGAAUUGUGUAUAAAGGUUUAACUGCUUUAGAAAAUAUAAAUCUGAAGAUUUGUGGUAUUUGGGUUUGUAUAGAAGAUUUUUCUACAUUUAAAAGAGACAGAGUGGAAAAGCUUGGUAUAAGAUUUGUAAAACGUAUUUGUAAUAAUGCUAAUAGAAGAGGUGAGAGUUGGGUGGGGUGGGGUGUAGAUGGGAACAUAGUUUGGGGAUUGGGGAAAGGGAAGUUAUGCUGUAAAUAAAAUAGUGAGGCAUGUUAUAGAAAGUGUGUUUUAUGUCUCAAUUGAAAUGUUAUAGAGAUAAAUUUAAAAUAGAUCAUGAUGGGUUUUGAAUCUGAUUUCUAAUUUUAAAAUGUUAGGAGCUUUUGUUGCUUUCCUAGUUCAUACACAUUUCUUUAUGGGUUUCACUUAGGCUCCAUGAAACUGCAGAUGCCAAUUACCUUUUAACAAAAUUAAAUUCACAUAUAUGUAUAAUUCACAUGUAUAUAUUCGUGGAAUUUUUUAUUCUAUACAUGAUAUAUUAUUUUAAAAUGGUUUAUCAAUGACAAAACAAAAAGUAUAAUUUUUCUGUACUU
This is a long non-coding RNA of Mandrillus leucophaeus (drill), 965 nucleotides long. RefSeq lists it as uncharacterized. NCBI's taxonomy places the organism in Eukaryota, Metazoa, Chordata, Mammalia, Primates, Cercopithecidae. The transcript is spliced from 2 exons. The record is from RefSeq and is a predicted model, not a curated record.